UACGUAGGGUGCAAGCGUUGUCCGGAAUUAUUGGGCGUAAAGAGCUCGUAGGCGGUUUGUCGCGUCGGCUGUGAAAACCUGGGGCUCAACCCCGGGCCUGCAGCCGAUACGGGCAAGCUAGAGUUCGGUAGGGGAGACUGGAAUUCCUGGUGUAGCGGUGAAAUGCGCAGAUAUCAGGAGGAACACCGAUGGCGAAGGCAGGUCUCUGGGCCACUACUGACGCUGAGAAGCGAAAGCAUGGGGAGCGAACAGG
This 253-nucleotide ribosomal RNA is filed under the name uncultured bacterium. RNAcentral's name for it is "partial 16S ribosomal RNA". It matches the Rfam family "Bacterial small subunit ribosomal RNA", at positions 524 to 776 of the family's 1533-position model. The record is from RNAcentral.